This is a long non-coding RNA of Alosa sapidissima (American shad), 1016 nucleotides long. RefSeq lists it as uncharacterized. The transcript is spliced from 4 exons. NCBI's taxonomy places the organism in Eukaryota, Metazoa, Chordata, Actinopteri, Clupeiformes, Clupeidae. The record is from RefSeq and is a predicted model, not a curated record.
AGUGUCAACUUGCUGGACGUCAUCUUCGAGAUGGUGUUCUUCAGGGAGCUUGAGGGGGCUCGUGCCAGGCUGGCCCCUGUGAGAUUUGUGCAACCUCGUCCUCCGCUGUCCAUCUAUUCAUUAAACACUCUCUGUCCUCCCUUCUAUAGCGGGUUCAGGGUGGGUUCCUGGAUCAUCUUGUGACAAUGAUCCAUGCCUUCCUGCCCUCCGAGGCGUGGCCACCUCAGGCUGUAUAAUGCUGGGGGCUGUUGCGGGCUGACCUGCUGGGUUUCCUGAAGGAGGUCUUCUCCCUGGAGCAGAGUGUGUACAGCCAACCACAGGACCUCUCAGAUGGGCUCUUCAACUGCCUGGAGCAGCGUGUGGAUGAGCCCCUGGGGUGGUUUUUGUUGCCCCCUGGUUAGGUGCUGCCCGUGGUCCUGACGCCGCUGGUCCUGACGCUGUCCGUGGUCCUGACGCUGCUGGUCCUGAUGCUGUCUGUGGUCCUGACGCCGCUGGUCCUGACGCUGCUGGCCCUGGCAGUGCUGCCUACUCCUCUGCUGGCACUCUGAGCUCUGCUCAGAUAAUAUGAAGCGCUCAUGCCAGUGCUACUCCCCAACUUAAACCUGCAGGGUUUUCCGGUGAUAGCCUGUUCUUGCUAGUGAUUCCAUCCUGUCAUUCUAAUGUGUUUUGACUGUUUGCUCUGGUAGGGGUCAGGAGACAGCAACCUGCUGUCUGAGUCCAUGCAGGUUCCCUCCCUCUAGUACAUUGGUUCCCAAAGACUGGGUCGCGACCCACAGGUGGUUUUUGUUGCCCCCUGGUUAGUGCCAUCCAGUAGGACCAUGAAAACGUGAGGACUUGGGAACACACAGCUGCCGACUUCUGUGGACCAGAUGCAUUUAGGAGUGGACAUAUUCAUGGAUUCAAGGAGUGGGGUAUGGAUGUAAGGUUUAGAAUAACAUACUGUAGGCUACACAUUUCAAACAUUCAAAUUGAGUGACCACUGGGCUAGAUCCUGGUAUAAAAAUAUGUUUAUUGAU